UGGGUAACCUGCCCAAGAGAUCGGGAUAACACCUGGAAACAGAUGCUAAUACCGGAUAACAACAGAUGAUGCCUAUCAACUGUUUAAAAGAUGGUUCUGCUAUCACUCUUGGAUGGACCUGCGGUGCAUUAGCUAGUUGGUAGGGUAACGGCCUACCAAGGCGAUGAUGCAUAGCCGAGUUGAGAGACUGAUCGGCCACAUUGGGACUGAGACACGGCCCAAACUCCUACGGGAGGCAGCAGAC
This 244-nucleotide ribosomal RNA is filed under the name uncultured Lactobacillus sp. RNAcentral's name for it is "partial 16S ribosomal RNA". It matches the Rfam family "Bacterial small subunit ribosomal RNA", at positions 118 to 354 of the family's 1533-position model. The record is from RNAcentral. Lineage: Bacteria; Bacillati; Bacillota; Bacilli; Lactobacillales; Lactobacillaceae.